UUUCUAUUCAGGGGAAAAGAGAGGGUUUUUCUGGUGGCUCAGAUGGUAAAGAAUUUGCCUUCAAUGCAGGAAACCUGGGUUCAAUCUCCAGAUUGGGAAGAUCCCCUGGAGAAGGGAGGGGAAAGAGAAACUUCUACAGCUGGAUGAAGCUGUGGAUAUGUUCUAGAUUCUGGGCCAUCCUGACUCCCUGAGCAGCCCAAAUAGUUAUUUGGUAGGUAGACAGGCUGUGAGGGGAGGUGGAGAGGUCCAUACAUAACGAAGAAAAAUGGAAUUAAGAACUAGAAGUCUCCUUCAUUGGGGCCACUGGAGUGAAUCAAGAAAACAUCCAAAAAUCCUCGGUAAGAAAGUUUGUUCUCUCGGCAGACCUAAACAGGAUGUUUAAGAACAGAGAAAACUCAUGCAGACAGGAGUGUGUGCAUGCUCUCUUGCCCAGCUGUGGCAGACUCUUUGACCCCAUGGACUGUAGCCCGCCAGUCUUCUCUGUCUGUAGAAUUUUCCAGCAGGCAGAUUCUUUACCACUGCACCACCCGGGAAAUCUGCAGACAGGAGAGAGGCCCCCAAAUAUUAAAUGGUGGACACUCAAAAAAUACUAUUUCUGGUUGGCAACAUUCUAAGUCCUUCUUCUAAUCCAACACUUGAAAGAAUGCCAUACAUUUUUUUUUUGAAUACACAUAACUUGUUUGCUCCAUGCUUACAUGAGAAAUGGACUGUCUUGUUCAAACUGGAAUAAAUUGUUGAAAGAAAUAUAAGUGCUUAAGUGUCUUCUUCAGGACCAGGAAAUCAUCUAUCAUUUGGACUUUGAGUUGUAGCCUUGUAAAGAAGAAACUUGUUCCUUAUAGUUAUGCUGCUAAACUAGGAAUAAAGACCUCUGUUGAAAGAGAUGCUUUAGCAGUAUCUGGAUGAGAGAUUAACUCUACAAGAGGCAAAGGAAAUCACCUAUUUCCCCUUGUCCAACCCACUCAACUCAAACCAUCCAAAACUGUCAGUGGAUCUGAAAUGAGAGGAAGUGACUAAUUUGAUGAUCAAUAACAACACUGAUGGUUCAGGAUGUUAAGAUAAGGGUAAUGUAAGUCAUGCUUCUAACUAUGAACAGAUCGGUGGAAGGAAUCAAAAAAGCACCGGCGGUAACACAAUUGACUCAAAAGGUUCAGUGUUUUAUAUUCCAGACCACAUGUUUGCAAAUCAACAAGUAGCCAUCUCAUCUCACGUGGGCAUCCAAGUCUUCAUGAAGAGUGGAAUUCUGCUUCUUUACCAGAGUUGGAAUCAGGCAAACCUGCCAGCACUGACCUAGAUUCCCAGCCUUCUAAUAGAUGAGGGGCAUCUAUGUCUGAACUCAGGGAAAGGCCUGUUAGCCUGAGUUGGUGGCGUGUUGCAGCCUAACAAUCUCCUGUGUAGACAGUUGCUAAGCAUCGGGGCGACCAGCAGGCAUCCUGAGCUCUGCAGAGAC
Bos taurus (domestic cattle) is the source of this 1447-nucleotide long non-coding RNA. Lineage: Eukaryota; Metazoa; Chordata; Mammalia; Artiodactyla; Bovidae. The record is from Ensembl.